RNAcentral lists this ribosomal RNA (429 nucleotides) under Bacteroidota bacterium. RNAcentral's name for it is "Bacteroidetes bacterium partial 16S ribosomal RNA". It matches the Rfam family "Bacterial small subunit ribosomal RNA", at positions 355 to 776 of the family's 1533-position model. Lineage: Bacteria; Pseudomonadati; Bacteroidota. The record is from RNAcentral.
UAGGGAAUCUUCCGCAAUGGACGCAAGUCUGACGGAGCAACGCCGCGUGAGUGAAGAAGGAUUUCGGUUCGUAAAACUCUGUUGUUAGAGAAGAACAGCGCAUAGAGUAACUGUUAUGCGUGUGACGGUAUCUAACCAGAAAGCCACGGCUAACUACGUGCCAGCAGCCGCGGUAAUACGUAGGUGGCAAGCGUUGUCCGGAUUUAUUGGGCGUAAAGCGAGCGCAGGCGGUCAAUUAAGUCUGAUGUGAAAGCCCCCGGCUCAACCGGGGAGGGUCAUUGGAAACUGGUUGACUUGAGUGCAGAAGAGGAGAGUGGAAUUCCAUGUGUAGCGGUGAAAUGCGUAGAUAUAUGGAGGAACACCAGUGGCGAGAGCGGCUCUCUGGUCUGUAACUGACGCUGAGGCUCGAAAGCGUGGGUAGCAAACAGG